AUGAGCGUUGUCAGGAGUACCAGCUCCAUGAAAGUUGCCAGGAAUACUAGCUCCAUGAGUGUUGCCAGGAGUACCAGCUCCACGAACACCACCAGGUGUAUCGGCUCCAUGAACAUUGUCAGGAGUACCAGCUCCAUGAAUGCUGCUGUGAUUAUGGGUACUGCAAACGGUGCUGUUACCUCCGUGGCUGAAGCCUGCAUGAAGGCUGCCUAUUCAUGUUAUAUUUGUUUUCUUUUUAAAUGUGUCCAGUCGGAGGUUAUUUUGACUCAGCCAGAGGCAAAGACUGGCCGUGCCAGCGACACCCUGAAACUGACCGGCAAAAUCAGUGGGUUCGAUCUUGGCAGCUCCUGGAUGUAUUGGGUCCGACAAGUUCCCGGACAGGGUCUGGAGUGGCUGGUUAGCAACUAUACUGCAUCUAGCAAUUACUAUGCCUCGGCGAUGAGGGAUCGGUUUACUGCGUCCAAAGACACUUCAAACAACAUCUUCGCGUUGGACAUGAGUAACCUGAAGAUCGAAGACACCUUUGCAGCAAUAAUACCAUUGGAGCCAUCAGUGCCUGUCCUCCUGCCACUAACAGAAGAAAUCUCCGCACAGAGGUUACUCUCCCUCACCUGUUCAGUGAGAUGUUUCUCCUCACGAGAGGUCUUUGUCAAGUGGACAAACAAUGACAAGCCUGUGAAUCCCAGUGACUACAAGAACACCGAGGUGAUGGCAGAGAGCCACAACACCUCCUUCUUCAUGUAUAGCCUGUUAACCAUUACAGCGGAGGAGUGGGGCAGAGGUGCUUCUUACUCUUGUGUGGUGGGACAUGAAGCGAUCUCAUUGACUGUUCUGUUGAUGAUCUUCAAUAAUUCCAGCGGUAAACCGAGUUUUGUGAACAUUUCACAUGCACUGAUGGACACUGUUAAUUCAUGUCAAUAAAAAUCCCAAAGUUGCAUUUAAUAAUUCAACAAAAGUAAUAAAGAUGUUUUCCUUCAA
Non-coding RNA from Chiloscyllium plagiosum (whitespotted bambooshark), 978 nucleotides. NCBI's taxonomy places the organism in Eukaryota, Metazoa, Chordata, Chondrichthyes, Orectolobiformes, Hemiscylliidae. The record is from the annotation of a RefSeq genome assembly.